UAAUGAUAAACUGAGCCUUGGGUACAGACACAUUUAUUUGUAGACAUCAGUACAAAACACAAGGAUACAUGACAGGGGUGAAGGGUGGGGGGCGGCGCACCCUUGGUCAGCCGGGCAUGGUCACCAAUCCGUAGACACCACGCCAAUUUGGACUCACACCAGGCAGAAAAAAUCACUGUUUACAUUCCUGCCAAUGUGCAGUUUGUGUAGACAAACAACUCCCGUUUCUGGACACACUGAUAACAAGAUCGGGAAGCACCGUAAAAUUCAAAGUGUACAGGAAACCCACUAAUAAAAACAACUUCAUACACUACCUCGGCGCUCAUAGCAAGAAAACAAAAACGGGUGUAAUCAUAGGCUUUUUCCUGAGAGCGCUACGAAUCUUCAGCCCCGAAUUCCUUUCAGAGGAAUUAGAAUAUAUAAGAAAAACUUUUACUAAGCUAGGCUACCCCAAAGGUCUUCUUUACAUCGCAGAAGAAAAAGCUCGCAAGAUCAUCCACCGUAAACAACAAAAUGACAACACAAGAUACCUGGUGGUGCCGCACUCGGACCCGACAGACAACCUCAGGAGAACUCUAUUCGGUACAAACAUACAAGUUGUGACAACCCAAUUUUUCCGAGCAUUUUCCACCAUGACACAAGCAUCAAGAGAAGGGAUGGCGUGUACGGACUGGUAAACAUGUUACUCGAUGAAGGGAGAGUUUGACAUCAGGAGUGUGUGUUUAUUAGGGAAGCUGCCACCUGUUUAUACCUCUUUACAUUUUUCAUCGGGUUUAGUUUCUUUAGUUUUUUCGGUUAUAUUAAGUUACAUUGAGAGUUUGACGUCGGUAGAGAGGCAAAUGGUUUUCCUUUUAUCUAUUUUAUACCAAGUUUUAUCAUUGUAUCAAGUUAUUUACAGUCUUAUUUCUUUAUCUGGGUAAGUUGAAAGUCCAUCUCUUGAGUGAUUCUUUGGUUACAUUGUUACAUCUGAGUCAUUUAAAUGGUUGUUAAUAUAUGCUGCACUAAGUUUUUUUUUUCAUUGUAUCAAAUUAUUAGUUUUAUCAUUGUAUCAAGUUAUUUACAGUCUUAUUGGGUCUUAUUUCUUUAUCUGGGGUCAGCUGAAAGUCCAUCUUAUGAAUGAUUUUGGUUACAUUGUUACAUCUGAGAGUCAUUUAAAUGGUUGUUAAUAUAUGUUGCACUAAGUUUUUUCAUUGUAUCAAAUUAUUAACAUUCUGUCUGAUAUUAAGAUGAAUACAAAUGGUUUUCUCAAAUAUCUAGUGUACCAAGACUUUUCACAGUAUGUAUAUUUAACAACUCAUUUCUUUGCUAUAUUUUGACCUGGACCAAAUAAGAAUCCAUCAUUUGUUUGGUCGAUAAAUUACUGAUUUAACCCGGUAGCUGCGGGGAUCAUGUUUCUUAAAGGCCCUUCCCUCUAAGCGAGAAAAAUGAGAAAAAAAUCAUCACUCACGCAAACCACUUCAUAAUAUAUAUCAACGCAUUUGUGAUCAGUUUAUGCAUCAUCUAUUUUGGGGGUUUAUAUCAUAGCAAAAAUUUGGCCCAUCGCUGGUACACGGUAAAGCCACAGAUUUGGCCCGUCGCUGCUACCGGGUUAAGAGAGGUAUCUAUUGUUAACCUCAGUAUAUGUAUUUAUUAUUAGGGGAAUAAUUAAUGGGUGUAAGUUUUUAUUUCCAUAUCACACGUCUUUUCCCUUCUCCCUUUUUGUGUGUGAUAUGAAGGGCCACCAACCAAACAUACACACACUCAGGAAUGAACCACGGACACACACGGCAUACAAAAAACAGGUUAUAUAGACACGAGGCGUAUGGUGUAGACGUGGCGACCAGACCAAUUAAGGCGAUGUUGUUUUUGGUGCCAUCUUGGAGCCUCCACUGAAUUCUUGCUGCGUUAUGCGGUGAAGCAAGUUAACCCGGUAGCAGCAGGGAUCAUGUUUCUUAAUGGUCCCCCCAAGCGAGAAUAAUGAGAAAAAAUCGCCCCUCAUACAAACCAUUUCAUAAUAUGUAUCAAAGCAUUUGUGAUCAGAUUAUGCAUCAUCUAUUUUGGGGGGCUUAUAUCAUGGCACAAAUUUGGCCCAUCGCUGCUACCGGGUUAAGGGGGGAUUGCCUUAAAAUGAAAACAUAUACAUUAACUUAUUCUUGAGGUAAAUAAAUAAGGGUUAGGAUUUUGUUUUAAGUCAGGGAAUGUUAAUAGAGAGAAGAACAAUGGUUUAAUGGAUGAGUUACUGAAAGAAAAUGGGGUUAGGGUUGCCGGGGUUGAGAUUAAAGGGGUGCUACUCUAAAAUUAAGGAAAAUGGGGUUAGGGUUGCCGGGGUGAAGAUUUAAGGGGGGGCUACUCUAAAAUUAAGGAAAAUGGGGUUAGGGUUGCCGGGGUUGAGAUUAAAGGGGGGGCUACUCUAAAAUUAAGGAAAAUGGGGUCACGGUUGCCGGGGUGAAGAUUUAAGGGGGGCUACUCUAAAAUUAAGGAAAAUGGGGUCAGGGUUCAGCGACUUUGGUCAGGAGGAGAACCGGGGGGCAGCAUGGCCCAAGCAAGUGUCAUAUAUCAUGGCAGCCACUAUAAAAAAAAUUCGCCUGUGCCACUAACAAGCUGGGCCAUCCAAAGGGCCCCUCGAGAGAGCCUACUGGCACUAGACGCAGCACCUAAAGUAUAAAAAAAAAGCAUAUGAGGGGACAGGUGUAAAUGGCAGGUCACCCCAUCUACACUCUACGCCUGACAUGUGUUACACUCCACAUAAAAAGCUACCACAUUUAACCGCAGCACACUCGCCAUGGCUUCAUCUAAGGAGUUGCAUAUUUGGAAGAGUAUGUACAGUUAUAGUGAGUUGGUUAGCCGGGGAAGGACAGACUCGCCCCGGCACAGAAUUCAAUAAGAAAACGACUCAUUACGUUAUAUCAUUUACAGCGGUCAUAGGUGUUUAUUUCCUUGUAUUAAUACCUUGCUUUCUCUUGUUAUGAAUCUCCAUCUCUCCAUUUUCCUCCUUCUCAUCCUCUUUCUUCCUCUUCUCUUAUUCAAUCUCCAUUCUCGAUUCUCCAGUUUUCCAUCUCCUUUUCCUUCUCUUUCUUUUUCUUCUCAGUGUUUUCUUUCCUCCUUCUUCUCCUCUCCUUCUCUCCUUGUCUCCUCCUCCUCCAUUUCCUUUUCUUCUUCUCCCUUCACUAUCUCCUCUUCCUCACCAUUUACAGCACUCACAAACCUUCAUUAAGUCCUUCUCCCUCACUUGGUUAAUAUUAUUUUUAUAGUGGGUGUGAAAAUGACCUCCAGACAUAACAUAUAUACCAUUUACAACAGAGACAUUCAUUCGUUUAUAAUAUCUUUCUUUCCUCCUCAUUCUCUUAUAAUAUCACUCACAACGGUAAUAUUUUUUGAAGGGUAACUGUACAAGACUCAUCACAAGCAGGAGGAGGGCAGGUCAGCAGUGUCACAAGUCAGGCGUUAAUAUGUACAAAAAUUAAGAGGGAAGUUAAGUUAACCCGUCCGCUGUGAUUGGCAUGGAUUUGGCCUUCACUGGUAGCCUGGUAACACACUCCCAGGUCUUUCUCUGCCUCUGUGGUGGAUAGUGGAGUGUUUCCCAUGUGGUAUUGGUGUGCUGGAUAUCCCUUCACUGGUAGCCUGGUAACAUAUACUCCCAGGUCUUUCUCUGCCUCUGUGGUGGAUAGUGGAGUGUUUCCCAUGUGGUAUUGGUGUGCUGGAUAUCCCUUCACUGGUAGCCUGGUAACAUACACUCCCAGGUCUUUCUCUGCCUCUGUGGUGGAUAGUGGAGUGUUUCCCAUGUGGUAUUGGUGUGCUGGAUAUCCCUUCACUGGUCGCCUGGUAACAUACACUCCCAGGUCUUUCUCUGCCUCUGUGGUGGAUAGUGGAGUGUUUCCCAUGUGGUAUUGGUGUGCUGGAUAUCCCUUCACUGGUAGCCUGGUAACAUACACUCCCAGGUCUUUCUCUGCCUCUGUGGUGGAUAGUGGAGUGUUUCCCAUGUGGUAUUGGUGUGCUGGAUAUCCCUUCACUGGUAGCCUGGUAACAUACACUCCCAGGUCUUUCUCUGCCUCUGUGGUGGAUAGUGGAGUGUUUCCCAUGUGGUGUUGGUGCAGGACUUUACAUUUUUCUUCAUUGAAUUGUAGCAGCCACUUUUUGUUCCUUUCCUGUAGCUUGGUGAUGUCUUCUGGUAGGAAAUCCGCAGUCAAGGGGUUAAGCGCACACGCCCCACAUCAAAGAGUAGAGACUUGCGUUACCUGCCAACACGUACCUUUAGUCAAGUACGCAUUGCAGUAACAAUCUCUCCCCUAACGUCUUCACUAUACAUAUCAACUUCAGAUAAUUAAAACUGUAAAUACAUAGAUGAAUUAACGCAGAAUUAGAUUUAAGCCAUGUUGCCCUGUCUCCUGGUAUUCUUUUAUCCUGCUUAGCUUUUUUCAUGUUUAAUUUAUAUGUUCCUCUAUUCAUUUUCAGAAGGAAGAGAGUGAGGAAGAUGAGAAUGACGAGGAUGAGACGGAGAAGGAUGCCUGACUUGGGAGAACACAGGCCUCGGGAAAUGACUUGCUUCUCGGGGUUUAGAAAUGACUUUGUAUCCUGAAAGAGAAAAGAAAAAGAAGAGUAUCAGUUAACGUCGCUGCACUCAUACAUAAGAAGCAGAGGAGGACCAGCAAAGUAACAGAAGAAGAACAAGAAGAAGGAGAAAGAAAAGAAGAAAAAGGAGAACAGGAAAAGGGAAAAUGAAGAACAUGAACAUCGCUGCACUCAAAGUUAUACAUAAGAAGCAGAGGAAGACCAGCAAAGUAACAGAAGAAGAAGAAAAAGGAGGAAAAGAAGAACAAGAAGAAGGAAAAAACAAAGAAGAACAAAAAAAGGGAAAAUGAAGAACUUGAACAAGAAGCAGAUUAUCCAUGACCCCCAAAAUAUGAGCUUGUGCCCCUGAAGGAAGGCGCCCCUGCUGCCUGCUCCAACUGAUGGCGGCCGGGGGGUUGCCAUCCGCCUGACACUCCAGCCUGACGGGGACGCCCUGGGUGACACGCUGCACGGCUGGGCUCAUGCGACGCACCUGUGGGCCGAGGAACACCCAGGGGAGGAGCUCCAUCCCCCGAAUACUCACCGUGGCCGGGUAUUGGACGUCAAGAGUGUGGGUGACCUCAAUGGCUGGUGAGGACUCAAUGCGACAGACGUACCGCCCAGCGUGACUCCGUUUGACGCCCUGAAGGAUGAAGGAGUCCCCGCUCUUGGUGUUCAGGGCAGUUAGGGCACAACGCUCACCUGGAUAAUGGCUGCAGAGGAUAAUGAGCCAAGUAAAGGGACAAGAGAAAGGAAGAGCAAGAACCCCUCUGAGGCAGUGAUUGGUUCUCGGCCCCGCUCUCUUGUGGCGCGGGCAGAAACUUUUUAUAGUGACGCCGAAGAAAAUCUCCCCCUUCCUGGCUCCCGGCGCUGCACCCUCGCGUCUUCUCCGGACAAGGUAAGGUUGCUCGUGUUCGUGUGUAUUGAAAGUAUGAAAAAAAUAGGUCUUGACUCAGAAAAUUCAUAUAUGCUUCCUUACUAAUAAGACUUUCUAUACAACAAAGUGAGGUCAUUCUUUGUUGAUUUAUACCAUAAGGUGCUGGCUAUCAUGUGUGUGAAGAUACCCUGAACUUAAUCUAACCUAACCUAACAAAACCCCGAACAGUUACUAUAGGCCUUGACUUAGAAAAUUCAUAUAUGCUACCUUACUAAUGAGACUUUCUAUACAACAAAGUGAGGUCAUUCUUUGUUGAUGUAUACCAUAAGGUGCUGGCUAUCAUGUGUUUGAGGAUACCCUGAACUUAACCUGACCUAACCUAACAAAACCCCGAACAGUUACUAUAGGCCUUGAC
Eriocheir sinensis (Chinese mitten crab) is the source of this 5819-nucleotide long non-coding RNA. RefSeq lists it as uncharacterized. The transcript has 7 exons. NCBI's taxonomy places the organism in Eukaryota, Metazoa, Arthropoda, Malacostraca, Decapoda, Varunidae. The record is from RefSeq and is a predicted model, not a curated record.